This 177-nucleotide non-coding RNA is filed under the name unclassified sequences. The record is from Rfam.
AGCCGCAUUAGUUGGAUUGGGAAACUCAUCAAACUAAUCUGAAAACCGAGACAUAGCUUCAUCUUCCAAUGGCGGGCCACGCCUUCGGGUAGCAUUUAUGCCGGUGGAUUACAAAGGAGGAGAGCACUCAAAACCUGUCAUUCGGAGUUUCAUCGCAUCACUGGUGCGGCUUCAUUA